UAUUAGCAUAAAUGUAAAGACUAUUUCAGAUUUCUGUUGUUGAACUCUGAAAAAAUCUGAAGUUGCUGUUUUGGUACCAAAUUCUCUCCUGUAAACUGCCCUUUAAAUGGAUGGGAAUGUUAAAUUGGUUGACAUAAAAAAUAGGUAGACAAUAGACGAGUUGAUAUAUUGACAACAUAGUAAAUGUAUCACCUUUAUAAGGAUAUUAAGGCUAAAAAGCAUUUUUCUAGCAUUUCCGACAGUACUUUAGCCAAUAAUUCAAUAAUGUCUGUAGCUAUUGUGGUAGCUGAGAGACAAGACUAAUGUGCCACCAAGAACACGUUUAAAUACUUAAAACAUUUGAUACUUCAAUCAAAAUAACAAUGUAAUAAUCUGUAAAUAAAUUGAAUUCAUGUUUCACACGAAGGCCCGUUCACGUUUUGUGUCAAAUCGGAUCCCGUUUGCUACAGUUUUCGCGCACUACACGAGGCGACUUGGCAGCACAAAGCUAUGGGAAAAGCAUGACAAUUAUGAACGGGAUAAAGAGAAGUUGAGCUUGGCAGAGGAGAAAAGUGAUCUUCAAAGACUCUGAGGCAUUCCAAAGGGAGGAAGGGGCAGGUUAUGUGAUCAAGAGAUCAAUACCUUCAAGUUAGUAGGUUUAAAUUGUGAAUACUAUUUUUCCAACUUUGUUAAAUAUAUUUCUACCUUAAAUAGGGAUGCCACGAUACAUAAGUUUCAUGAAUCGAUACGUAUCACGAUACACAUGUUACCUAUUUUCACUGCAUUAUUGCAUAAAUGUAGUUACAUUUUGAACAUUGAUAUUUAAUUUUUUAUAAUUGUCCAUGAAAAGAUCAACAGUUUUUUAUCCUCAGAGAUUAAAAUGUUCUAAUUUCCCAUCUUUGUGCAUGAAAAAUAAUCAUAACUCUCACAACAU
Long non-coding RNA from Haliotis rubra (blacklip abalone), 913 nucleotides. RefSeq lists it as uncharacterized. The record is from RefSeq and is a predicted model, not a curated record. The transcript has 2 exons. NCBI's taxonomy places the organism in Eukaryota, Metazoa, Mollusca, Gastropoda, Lepetellida, Haliotidae.